GACGAACGCUGGCGGCGUGCCUAACACAUGCAAGUCGAACGAAGCGAUCAAGAUGAAGUUUUCGGAUGAAUUCGAGAUUGACUUAGUGGCGGACUGGUGAGUAACGCGUGAGGAACCUGCCUUUCAGAGGGGGACAACAGUUGGAAACGACUGCUAAUACCGCAUGAAGCAUUCGGGUCGCAUGGCCUGAAUGCCAAAGAUUUUAUCGCUGAAAGAUGGUCUCGCGUCUGAUUAGCUAGUUGGUGAGGUAACGGCUCACCAAGGCGACGAUCAGUAGCCGGUCUGAGAGGAUGAACGGCCACAUUGGGGACUGAGAUACGGCCCAGACUCCUACGGGGAGGCAGCAGUGGGGGAAUAUUGGGCAAUGGGGGAAACCCUGACCCAGCAACGCCGCGUGAAGGAAGAAGGCCUUC
RNAcentral lists this ribosomal RNA (413 nucleotides) under uncultured bacterium. RNAcentral's name for it is "bacterial SSU rRNA". It matches the Rfam family "Bacterial small subunit ribosomal RNA", at positions 28 to 419 of the family's 1533-position model. The record is from RNAcentral.